CUGAUGGUGGAUGCUGGGUUUAGGCUGGGGGUUUCAACUCCUUGCCACGUAGGCCUCUCCUGUGGUCUCUCCCUGUGGGCUAGUUUGGGCUUCCUCAUAGCAUGGUGGCUGGGUUU
This 116-nucleotide microRNA precursor is filed under the name Chlorocebus sabaeus (green monkey). RNAcentral's name for it is "miRNA (ENSCSAG00000024557.1)". The record is from RNAcentral. Lineage: Eukaryota; Metazoa; Chordata; Mammalia; Primates; Cercopithecidae.